CCUACGGGAGGCUGCAGUGGGGAAUAUUGCGCAAUGGGCGAAAGCCUGACGCAGCGACGCCGCGUGAGGGAUGAAGGUCUUCGGAUCGUACACCUCUGUCAGCAGGGAAGAACGGUCACUGUGCUAAUCAGCAGUGAAUUGACGGUACCUGCAAAGGAAGCCACGGCUAACUCCGGGCCAGCAGCCGCGGUAAUACGGAGGGUGCGAGCGGUAAUCGGAAUUAUGGGGCGUAAAGCGCUCGUAGGCGGUAUGGCAAGUCAAGGGUGAAAUCCCCGCGCUCAACGUGGGAACUGCCUUUGAAACUGGCAAACUGGAGUAUGUGAGAGGAUAGUGGAAUUCCAGGUGUAGGAGUGAAAUCCGUAGAUAUCUGGAGGAACAUCAGUGGCGAAGGCGACUAUCUGGCACAUAACUGACGCUGAGGAGCGAAAGCGUGGGUAGCAAACAGGAUUAGAUACCCUGGUAGUC
RNAcentral lists this ribosomal RNA (465 nucleotides) under uncultured bacterium. Its description in RNAcentral is "partial 16S ribosomal RNA". It matches the Rfam family "Bacterial small subunit ribosomal RNA", at positions 338 to 795 of the family's 1533-position model. The record is from RNAcentral.